UGUCCUUCCUAGUCAAACUAGUACACUCAAAUCCCAGUGUCCCAGCAAGCACCUUCUGUAUGUAAUUUGCAACUUCAAUGGCGGAUUUCCCACCUGUGCAAGUGAGCUCCGUGGGCAGCUGAUUCAAGAAGNNNNNNNNCAUAAGUUGGCAUUGGAUUCAUGAACACGAAAUAAGGAUCCAACAAUUUGUGCCCUCGAAC
Molecule: unclassified non-coding RNA, 200 nt
Filed under: Hevea brasiliensis (rubber tree)
Lineage: Eukaryota; Viridiplantae; Streptophyta; Magnoliopsida; Malpighiales; Euphorbiaceae
Source: RNAcentral